This 494-nucleotide ribosomal RNA is filed under the name uncultured bacterium. RNAcentral's name for it is "partial 16S ribosomal RNA". It matches the Rfam family "Bacterial small subunit ribosomal RNA", at positions 28 to 507 of the family's 1533-position model. The record is from RNAcentral.
GACGAACGCUGGCGGCGCGCUUAACACAUGCAAGUCGAACGGAAAGGCCUGCUUUCCCUUGUGGAUUGCGGGUACUCGAGUGGCGAACGGGUGAGUAACACGUGAGUGAUCUGCCCCCAACUUGGGUAUAAGCCUGGGAAACUGGGUCUAAUUCCCGAUAGGACUGCAGGGUGGUGCCUGUGGUGGAAAACGAUUUUCUAGUGGUUGGGGAUGAGCUCGCAGCCUAUCGGCUUGUUGGUGGGGUAAUGACCUACCAAGGCGGCGACGGGUAGCCGGCCUGAGAGGGUGGACGGCCACAUUGGGACUGAGAUACGGCCCAGACUCCUACGGGAGGCAGCAGUGGGGAAUAUUAGACAAUGGGCGGAAGCCUGAUGCAGCGACGCCGCGUGGGGGAUGACGGCCUUCGGGUUGUAAACUCCUUUCGACCGCGAGGAAGCCACCUGGUUGGAAGGGUGGUGACGGUAGUGGUAGAAGAAGCACCGGCUAACUACGUG